RNAcentral lists this ribosomal RNA (557 nucleotides) under Leporacanthicus triactis. Its description in RNAcentral is "partial 16S ribosomal RNA". It matches the Rfam family "Bacterial large subunit ribosomal RNA", at positions 1808 to 2574 of the family's 2925-position model. The record is from RNAcentral. Lineage: Eukaryota; Metazoa; Chordata; Actinopteri; Siluriformes; Loricariidae. RNAcentral also lists the same sequence under 1 other name.
CAAAAACAUCGCCUCCUGCAAAAACCGACGUAUAGGAGGUCCUGCCUGCCCAGUGACUAUAAGUUAAACGGCCGCGGUAUUCUGACCGUGCAAAGGUAGCGCAAUCACUUGUCUUUUAAAUGAAGACCUGUAUGAAUGGUGGAACGAGGGCUUAACUGUCUCCCCCUUCUAGUCAAUGAAAUUGAUCUACCCGUGCAGAAGCGGGUAUAAUAAUACAAGACGAGAAGACCCUUUGGAGCUUAAGAUAAAAGACCAACUAUGUCAAAAGUCCUAAACUUAAAACUAAACCAAAUAGCACUGGUCCCAAUCUUCGGUUGGGGUGACCGCGGGAGAAAACAAAGCUCCCACGCGGACUGGGGUAAUCCCCUAGAACUAAGAGAGACAUCUCUAAGUCACAGAAUAUCUGACCAAAAAGAUCCGGCUACAUGCCGACCAACGGACCAAGUUACCCUAGGGAUAACAGCGCAAUCCCCUUCCAGAGUCCAUAUCGACAAGGGGGUUUACGACCUCGAUGUUGGAUCAGGACAUCCUAAUGGUGCAGCCGCUAUUAAGGGUUC